GAUGAAUAACGCAGCGAAAUGCGAUACGUAAUGUGAAUUGCAGAAUUCAGUGAAUCAUCGAAUCUUUGAACGCACAUUGCGCCUGCCAGCACUCUGGCAGGCAUGCCUGUUCGAGCGUCAUUUCAACCAUCAAGCCCUAGGCUUGCGUUGGAGCCCUGCGGCUGCCGCAGGCCCCUAAAAGCAGUGGCGGGCUCGCUAUCACACCGAGUGCAGUAGAUUACUCUUCGCUCAGGGCGUGUGGCGGGUUCCAGCCGUGAAACCCCCUACUUCUCAAGGUUGACCUCGGAUCAGGUAGGAAUACCCGCUGAACUUAAGCAUAUCAAUAAGCGGAGGA
This 334-nucleotide unclassified non-coding RNA is filed under the name soil metagenome. RNAcentral describes it as "partial contains 5.8S ribosomal RNA, internal transcribed spacer 2, and large subunit ribosomal RNA". The stretch from base 1 to 120 matches the Rfam family "5.8S ribosomal RNA", at positions 35 to 154 of the family's 154-position model. The record is from RNAcentral.